CCCUCCCUCCAGGGAUGGCCAGGAGGCCAGUGAACGGGGUCGCCGUCGGUGUGAUCAUAUCCUUCCUCCAGUACGGCGGUCUUGUGUGCGGUAGUGUCUGCUGUGACAGUGGUCGUAGAGCUGGCAGUGGCUCCGACUCUGCAAGCUUUAAUUGUGCUCCACUGUGGAUAAAAGCAGCUGCUGAAUGACUGAAUGAAAAGUGUAGUAUCGCUCGCUGAAAUCUGCUUUUACUGCCUCUGUCUCUCGCCCUCUUUAGCAGCCCGAGUCCCAGCCUCAGCCCUCAUCCCUCAGUGACAAAGACAUUGAAAAAGAAAUGAAGGGUUUAUUGUAUCAAGAGCAACACGGCGUGCGCCUUCGGCAUGAAAUAUUCAAACACAGCAACAAGUCCCCGUCCAGCGCUGGGCAGACGGUGUACCACAGUCUGAAGUGCUUUGACAUCGUGGAGCUACCAGAGAUCUGUGUGAAGCCAAACCCGGCCUUAGGUGGUCCCCAGCCCUUCAUAGCUUCCUCCACUGAAGACCUGGAAACAAACCAAACCACAUAACAACAAGGAUAGUGCUUCCCACUCCUUGUUUGUUCUUUCUACAAAGUCUGAUGUUUUAUUGGCCGUUAUGUGGCCUUGUAGUCAAGGGGGAAGAGCGUGGUUAUUGCUACGCACACACGGCUGACUGCAGGCUAGUUCAGGGUCUUGUUUGACAGUUGGGAUGCAAUGAAGUUUUGCUGUAGAUGGAAUAAAAACACAAUUUGUGCUGAUAAGGGGAGUUGGGGACAGAAAGGAUUACCUCAUCUCCCAGAGCCCCUCAGGGUUGAUAUAACUGUUGUUUUGUUGGUUGUGGUUUUAGGGACUGGUGUAGAUGAGAAGUGGGAGUAAGUGUUUAUUUAAACAGACGCUUGUCCACAGUCGAAGGAUGAGAAUAAUUCAAUGCAUAAACAAAUAAAUUCAUGAAUAUACAAAUACAUUUGAGACCUAUCAUCCAUGGGGAUAAUUGGUCUCACAAUAACUUUAUGUUCUGAAAUAGGUUUUCUAUUAAAAUGACUGAGCUUUGAGUGUGAUGGGGUCGUUACUCGUCUGAUACAGUAUUGAUUGUUUUUUUUGUUGCUCUAUUGAUUACAGUCCUAAAAUGGAGGGUUCAUUUAAUUCAUUAUCAUUGCACUGAUGAACUAGAUUCCCGGGUGCUGGCCUAGUUAGUGGGUUCUGCACCUGCUGAAUAACUGAGUUGGUUUUUUGUUGGUUCAUUGGCUCUUUAAAUAGCUUAUAACAAUUUAGGGUUAGUAGAGUAAAAUGGGACGUGGACACCUACAUUUUCUGAUUCUUUAAUUCCAUAGUAUGCAUAUUUAUUCCUGCAUGCAAAGAUGACUUCAAAAACCGCCAUGUCUAGUUUACUGCGAUUAAUUAUUCAUGGUUUUACCAUUAUGUUAUCAUGUGUCAGAGAUUUCUUGGUGAAGGGAAACAAUUGUCUAAAACAUCUUUGGUGAAAUUAAAAGUCUGUAAGUAUCAUUAUUAAAGUAUCUAAAAAAAAUUAUACGGGUUAUAAAUAUGUUGGUGUGUGGAUGUGAUGAC
Gadus morhua (Atlantic cod) is the source of this 1561-nucleotide long non-coding RNA. Lineage: Eukaryota; Metazoa; Chordata; Actinopteri; Gadiformes; Gadidae. The record is from Ensembl.